This 164-nucleotide ribosomal RNA is filed under the name uncultured bacterium. RNAcentral's name for it is "partial 16S ribosomal RNA". It matches the Rfam family "Bacterial small subunit ribosomal RNA", at positions 355 to 511 of the family's 1533-position model. The record is from RNAcentral.
UAGGGAAUCUUCCACAAUGGGCGAAAGCCUGAUGGAGCAACGCCGCGUGUGUGAUGAAGGGUUUUCGGCUCGUAAAACACUGUUGUAAGAGAAGAAUGACAUUGAGAGUAACUGUUCAAUGUGUGACGGUAUCUUACCAGAAAGGAACGGCUAAAUCGUGCAAG